RNAcentral lists this ribosomal RNA (253 nucleotides) under uncultured bacterium. RNAcentral describes it as "partial 16S ribosomal RNA". It matches the Rfam family "Bacterial small subunit ribosomal RNA", at positions 524 to 776 of the family's 1533-position model. The record is from RNAcentral.
UACGGGGGGGGCAAGCGUUGUUCGGAAUUACUGGGCGGAAAGGGCUCGUAGGUGGCCAACUAAGUCAGACGUGAAAUCCCUCGGCUUAACCGGGGAACUGCGUCUGAUACUGGAUGGCUUGAGUUUGGGAGAGGGACGCGGAAUUCCAGGUGUAGCGGUGAAAUGCGUAGAUAUCUGGAGGAACACCGGUGGCGAAGGCGGCGUCCUGGACCAACACUGACACUGAUGAGCGAAAGCCAGGGGAGCAAACGGG